CACAAAAGUGGCUUGAAGGUGCCUGAGUACGAUCUUCCCAGCGAAGCUACGGGUCCUUUUGUUCUGUCCGGGUACAGUGGCUACAAGCAAGUCCAGUUCCCACGAGGGAGGCUUUUUGCUUUUGACUCUGAGGGCAACUAUAUGUUGACGUGUUCUUCUACUGGGGGAGUCCUUUUUAAGUUGAACGGUGAGGAAAAGGUUCUGGAGAGCUGCCUUUCCCUGGGAGGACACAGAGCUCCCGUUGUCACAGUGGAUUGGAGCACGGCCAUGGACUGCGGGACCUGCCUCACCGCCUCUAUGGAUGGGAAGAUUAAAUUAACAACCUUACUGGCUCGGAAGUCUUAACCUGGACGGUGCCGAAGGGAAAGAGCAAAAGACUUGACAAAACCAGCGUUAACUCCACAGGAACAAACUGCAUGGGAGAGAAGGCAAACCACAGUCCCUCUUCUCAUUGUAGCUUUUGCCUCUUGAGAAAAGUUAAAUACGUUUGCCAAACCAC
Long non-coding RNA from Harpia harpyja (harpy eagle), 499 nucleotides. RefSeq lists it as uncharacterized. Lineage: Eukaryota; Metazoa; Chordata; Aves; Accipitriformes; Accipitridae. The transcript is spliced from 2 exons. The record is from RefSeq and is a predicted model, not a curated record.